AUUGAACGCUAGCGGGAUGCCUUACACAUGCAAGUCGAACGGAGUGGCGGACGGGUGAGUAAUAUCUCGGAACGUGCCCAGUAGCGGGGGAUAACUACUCGAAAGAGUGGCUAAUACCGCAUACUAUGGGAGCGGCCGAGAUCGGAUUAGCUAGUUGGGGGGGUAAAGGCUCACCAAGGCGACGAUCCGUAGCUGGUUUGAGAGGACGACUAGCCACACUGGGACUGAGACACGGCCCAGACUCCUACGGGAGGCAGCAGUGGGGAAUAUUGCACAAUGGGGGAAACCCUGAUCCAGCCAUGCCGCGUGUAUGAUGAAGGCCUUCGGGUUGUAAAGUACUUUUGGCGGAGAAGCGGUAUCUGCAGAAUAAGCACCGGCUAACUCCGUGCCAGCCGCCGCGGUAAUAC
RNAcentral lists this ribosomal RNA (407 nucleotides) under uncultured bacterium. Its description in RNAcentral is "partial 16S ribosomal RNA". It matches the Rfam family "Bacterial small subunit ribosomal RNA", at positions 30 to 526 of the family's 1533-position model. The record is from RNAcentral.